RNAcentral lists this ribosomal RNA (406 nucleotides) under uncultured bacterium. RNAcentral describes it as "bacterial SSU rRNA". It matches the Rfam family "Bacterial small subunit ribosomal RNA", at positions 355 to 776 of the family's 1533-position model. The record is from RNAcentral.
UGGGGAAUAUUGGACAAUGGGCGAAAGCCUGAUCCAGCCACGCCGCGUGAGUGAUGAAGGCCUUAGGGUUGUAAAGCUCUGUCGUGAGGGAAGAAGAUCUGACGGUACCUCACAAGAAAGCACCGGCUAACUCCGUGCCAGCAGCCGCGGUAAUACGGAGGGUGCAAGCGUUGCUCGGAAUUACUGGGCGUAAAGCGCACGCAGGCGGUUUAUCAGGUCGGAUGUGAAAGCCCAGGGCUCAACCCUGGAACUGCAUUCGAAACCGGUAGACUUGAGUUCGAGAGAGGGUGGUGGAAUUCCUGGUGUAGAGGUGAAAUUCGUUGAUAUCAGGAGGAACACCGGUGGCGAAGGCGACCACCUGGCUCGAUACUGACGCUCAUGUGCGAAAGCGUGGGGAGCAAACAGG